GGUGUGAAUCGGGCACUUUACCCAUUAGCAUUAAAUGUAAUCAACUUAUGUAUAAAUACUAUGUGCGUCUCAGUGAUAUUGGUGAACGGUCUGGUGGUCCGCAUGAAAUUCUCAAGGCUGCUUUUGAAGUGGACAAAACUCUCACAAAUAGAGAAAAUUCAUGGUCUAAUAAACUAUCUGAAUUAAUGAAAUAUAUUGGAAUACCCUUAAACAAGCAUUGUAAUAGUAAUUUCAAACAGAAACUAGAAGAUUUCUACAAAAAUAAAAUUAUAUUUGAACUAUCUAAGAUAAAAGAUGGAAACUGUGGUAAACUUUUAUUUUUUAGUAAAAUUUAUACUAAAUUUAAACAAGAAUAUUUAAACUUUAAUAUUCCUAAAUACCUUAGAAAAAAACUCACUAAAUUAAGAAUAAGUGCACACUCAUUAGCAAUAGAAACUGGUAGGUAUGCAAGACCAAAAAUACCCUCUAAUGAGAGAUUUUGUAAAUUUUGCACAGGAAAAAUUGAAAAUGAGAUACAUUUCUUGAUUGAAUGUCCGCAAUAUA
RNAcentral lists this long non-coding RNA (543 nucleotides) under Mytilus galloprovincialis (Mediterranean mussel). Lineage: Eukaryota; Metazoa; Mollusca; Bivalvia; Mytilida; Mytilidae. The record is from RNAcentral.